This 70-nucleotide transfer RNA is filed under the name Arctotherium sp. RNAcentral describes it as "tRNA-Thr". Lineage: Eukaryota; Metazoa; Chordata; Mammalia; Carnivora; Ursidae. The record is from RNAcentral.
GUCUUUGUAGUAUAAUGAUUACCCUGGUCUUGUAAGCCAAAAAUGGAGAACACUCACCCUCCCUAAGACU